Molecule: microRNA precursor, 135 nt
Filed under: Hordeum vulgare
Lineage: Eukaryota; Viridiplantae; Streptophyta; Magnoliopsida; Poales; Poaceae
Description: microRNA MIR1122
Rfam family: MIR1120/MIR1122 microRNA precursor family
Source: RNAcentral
CUUAUACUCCCUCCGUUCCAAAAUUCUUGUCUUAGAUUUGUAUAGAUAUGAAUGUAUCUAAUCAUAUUUUAGUAUUUUGAUACAUCCAUUUAAAAAAAAUCUAAGACAAGAAUUUUGGGACAGAGGAAGUAUUUA